RNAcentral lists this long non-coding RNA (772 nucleotides) under Physcomitrium patens. RNAcentral describes it as "long non-coding RNA (PPAT_LNC014111)". Lineage: Eukaryota; Viridiplantae; Streptophyta; Bryopsida; Funariales; Funariaceae. The record is from RNAcentral.
CAGACCUGAAAGAACCAGAAAACGAGUAUACAUUGGAGUGCGACGAAUGUUUUAAUUUCAGAUCUAUUCUAUCCAACCGAACCAAGUGGUCUUGAACAGGUGAUUAAGCACUAAGAUGCGGUUUCAAAGUCAUUGUUGCAAAUGGAAAUUAAGAAUAAGGGGCAAGGCCGGCUGCAAAUUGAAUAAUUGAGUUGAUUGGAAAUAAUACCGGUAGUAUUUUCGCAACAAAUCGAGAUUACGAUACUUAGUUUCCUUCCGCACUUGGUCAUCAGAGAACCCAGCCAUAAAGAGAAGGGUGAUCCCAAGUGCUUUGAAGAAAAAACUUCCUGUACGAACAUGAACCAGCAACGCCAUUUGGCACAUGAGUGGUCCAAACGACUUCAGCUUGUUACGCCCCAUCCUCUGCCGCACGUACCUAGUCACCCAAUCCCCCACUACCCUAUAAUAUGUGUUUACUCCUGUAUGCUUCAAAGACGGAGGUAAAAUAUAAACAUUCAACCAUGUUCCAAAACUGAUAACGAACGAACAAUCCAGCGAAACUUUUCGUAGUGUUGGUACACAAUUCAGUGUGCCAACACUACAAUAUGUACAGUCCUGUUUAUUUGCAAACCUUGCUCAUUCAAAUUGUACCUCUAAUAUAGAAGACGAAUGAAUAGCAAAGUGAAGCAUCUAUUCACUUUGUUCAUGAAGAAUCUGAAUUAUUAACAUGGUGCUCCAACUUGCAUAAUCGAAAGGGACUGAGUCAAUGAUUGUAAAAGAAGGUGAAAUACUU